RNAcentral lists this small RNA (264 nucleotides) under Lentibacillus amyloliquefaciens. Its description in RNAcentral is "BsrG". It matches the Rfam family "BsrG". From Rfam's summary of the family: bsrE, bsrG and bsrH pair through intermolecular interactions with antisense sRNAs. SR4 interaction with the 3'UTR of bsrG RNA promotes bsrG degradation and inhibits its translation. SR5 also overlaps bsrG from nucleotide 163 to 52 (Rfam overlap check). Lineage: Bacteria; Bacillati; Bacillota; Bacilli; Caryophanales; Bacillaceae. The record is from Rfam by way of RNAcentral.
UGUACAAUAAGGCCUUCAUGGGUGGUGGCUCACACCCCUUUGCACGUUUUUUGGGAAAGGGGGUGAUGCCGAUGACAGUAUUCGAAACACUUUUUUUGAUGAUUUCCUUCGGAACAUUAAUCAUAGCCAUACUGUCAAACCAGAAAAAAUAACCACCCAUAGGCCUGGCAAGCAUAAUGGGUAGUUAGUUUUUCAAAAACCUGUAAUGUGAGCCGCCCCCUUGAAGGGCUGUUGUGCGUGACCGUUAGUGUAUUUGCACUAGCG